RNAcentral lists this long non-coding RNA (321 nucleotides) under Elaeis guineensis (African oil palm). Its description in RNAcentral is "long non-coding RNA (EGUI_LNC032343)". Lineage: Eukaryota; Viridiplantae; Streptophyta; Magnoliopsida; Arecales; Arecaceae. The record is from RNAcentral.
CCCUAUCCAUGGACCACCAGCCAAUCCUACCAGUGGUCCCCAAACGUACGGUGGGGAUGGGUGCACCCCUCCACCCCGUCCCUUUUAACCUCAAUUAAACCUGGUGGAAAAUGCCCAGAUUCUCCCUGUACUCUCCCUAAUCCCCAUUAUCUAAUCCUGGGCUCCACCAUUCCGCGAACGCUACAAUUCUCUGUUCCACAACGGACGUUGUGUCACAGACUUAAUUAAUACGUCCAUUAAACGAAAUCUGUUACACUUAUAAUUGUCUUUUAAUACAUCAUAACAGUGUCUCCACUCUUCCAACAAGAACUAGCUAAUCGU